RNAcentral lists this ribosomal RNA (468 nucleotides) under uncultured bacterium. RNAcentral describes it as "partial 16S ribosomal RNA". It matches the Rfam family "Bacterial small subunit ribosomal RNA", at positions 28 to 507 of the family's 1533-position model. The record is from RNAcentral.
GACGAACGCUGGCGGCGUGCUUAACACAUGCAAGUCGAACGGAAAGGCCCUGCUUUUGUGGGGUGCUCGAGUGGCGAACGGGUGAGUAACACGUGAGUAACCUGCCCUUGACUUUGGGAUAACUUCAGGAAACUGGGGCUAAUACCGGAUAGGAGCUCCUGCUGAAUGGUGGGGGUUGGAAAGUUUCGGCGGUUGGGGAUGGACUCGCGGCUUAUCAGCUUGUUGGUGGGGUAGUGGCUUACCAAGGCUUUGACGGGUAGCCGGCCUGAGAGGGUGACCGGCCACAUUGGGACUGGGAUACGGCCCAGACUCCUACGGGAGGCAGCAGUGGGGAAUAUUGCACAAUGGGCGGAAGCCUGAUGCAGCAACGCCGCGUGCGGGAUGACGGCCUUCGGGUUGUAAACCGCUUUCGCCUGUGACGAAGCGUGAGUGACGGUAAUGGGUAAAGAAGCACCGGCUAACUACGUG